RNAcentral lists this ribosomal RNA (407 nucleotides) under uncultured bacterium. RNAcentral's name for it is "partial 16S ribosomal RNA". It matches the Rfam family "Bacterial small subunit ribosomal RNA", at positions 28 to 526 of the family's 1533-position model. The record is from RNAcentral.
GACGAACGCUGGAGGCGUGCCUAAUACAUGCAAGUAGAACGCAGUUGCGAACGGGUGAGUAACGCGUAGGUAACUGCCUCAUAGCGGGGGAUAACUAUUGGAAACGAUAGCUAAUACCGCAUACUGUGAGAUGGACCUGCGUUGUAUUAGCUAGUUGGUGAGGUAAAGGCUCACCAAGGCGACGAUACAUAGCCGACCUGAGAGGGUGAUCGGCAACAAUGUGACUGAGACACGGCCCAGACUCCUACGGGAGGCAGCAGGAGGGAAUAUUGCACAAUGGGCGCAAGCCUGAUGCAGCCAUGCCGCGUGUAUGAAGAAGGCCUUCGGGUUGUAAAGUACUUUCAGCGGGGAGGCUUUACCCGCAGAAGAAGCACCUUCUAACUCCGUGCCAGCAGCCGCGGUAAUUC